Molecule: ribosomal RNA, 432 nt
Filed under: bacterium enrichment culture clone ALO1_GLFRUDD03GD7NO
Lineage: Bacteria
Description: bacterial SSU rRNA
Rfam family: Bacterial small subunit ribosomal RNA
Source: RNAcentral
GAGUUUGAUCGUGGCUCAGAUUGAACGCUGGCGGCAUGCCUUACACAUGCAAGUCGAACGGCAGCACGGGAGCUUGCUCCUGGUGGCGAGUGGCGAACGGGUGAGUAAUGCAUCGGAACGUAUCCUGGAGUGGGGGAUAACGUAGCGAAAGUUACGCUAAUACCGCAUAUUCUGUGAGCAGGAAAGCGGGGGACCUUCGGGCCUCGCGCUCUUGGAGCGGCCGAUGUCGGAUUAGCUAGUUGGUGAGGUAAAGGCUCACCAAGGCGACGAUCCGUAGCAGGUCUGAGAGGAUGAUCUGCCACACUGGAACUGAGACACGGUCCAGACUCCUACGGGAGGCAGCAGUGGGAAUUUUGGACAAUGGGGGCAACCCUGAUCCAGCCAUGCCGCGUGAGUGAAGAAGGCCUCGGUUCGUAAGUACGUACUUCGUCG